This 253-nucleotide ribosomal RNA is filed under the name uncultured bacterium. Its description in RNAcentral is "partial 16S ribosomal RNA". It matches the Rfam family "Bacterial small subunit ribosomal RNA", at positions 524 to 776 of the family's 1533-position model. The record is from RNAcentral.
UACAGAGGGUGCAAGCGUUAAUCGGAAUUACUGGGCGUAAAGCGCGCGUAGGUGGUUAGUUAAGUUGGAUGUGAAAUCCCCGGGCUCAACCUGGGAACUGCAUUCAAAACUGACUGACUAGAGUAUGGUAGAGGGUGGUGGAAUUUCCUGUGUAGCGGUGAAAUGCGUAGAUAUAGGAAGGAACACCAGUGGCGAAGGCGACCACCUGGACUGGUACUGACACGGAGGUGCGAAAGCACGGGGAGCGAACAGG